RNAcentral lists this ribosomal RNA (309 nucleotides) under uncultured bacterium. RNAcentral describes it as "partial 16S ribosomal RNA". It matches the Rfam family "Bacterial small subunit ribosomal RNA", at positions 504 to 808 of the family's 1533-position model. The record is from RNAcentral.
AGAGACAGCAGUAGCCGCGGUAAUACGUAUGUCACAAGCGUUAUCCGGAUUUAUUGGGCGUAAAGCGCGUCUAGGUGGUUAUGUAAGUCUGAUGUGAAAAUGCAGGGCUCAACUCUGUAUUGCGUUGGAAACUGUGUAACUAGAGUACUGGAGAGGUAAGCGGAACUACAAGUGUAGAGGUGAAAUUCGUAGAUAUUUGUAGGAAUGCCGAUGGGGAAGCCAGCUUACUGGACAGAUACUGACGCUAAAGCGCGAAAGCGUGGGUAGCAAACAGGAUUAGAUACCCCUGUAGUCCCUGUCUCUUAUACA